Molecule: ribosomal RNA, 492 nt
Filed under: uncultured bacterium
Lineage: Bacteria
Description: partial 16S ribosomal RNA
Rfam family: Bacterial small subunit ribosomal RNA
Source: RNAcentral
AUUUCCCUCUUUCUUUAGGCCUAACACAUGCAAGUCGAACGGCAGCACAGUAAGAGCUUGCUCUUACGGGUGGCGAGUGGCGGACGGGUGAGGAAUACAUCGGAAUCUACUUUUUCGUGGGGGAUAACGUAGGGAAACUUACGCUAAUACCGCAUACGACUUACGGGUGAAAGCAGGGGAUCUUCGGACCUUGCGCGAUUGAAUGAGCCGAUGUCGGAUUAGCUAGUUGGCGGGGUAAAGGCCCACCAAGGCGACGAUCCGUAGCUGGUCUGAGAGGAUGAUCAGCCACACUGGAACUGAGACACGGUCCAGACUCCUACGGGAGGCAGCAGUGGGGAAUAUUGGACAAUGGGCGCAAGCCUGAUCCAGCCAUACCGCGUGGGUGAAGAAGGCCUUCGGGUUGUAAAGCCCUUUUGUUGGGAAAGAAAAGCAGCAGGUUAAUACCCCGCUGUUCUGACGGUACCCAAAGAAUAAGCACCGGCUAACUUCGUG